This 288-nucleotide long non-coding RNA is filed under the name Brassica napus (rape). Its description in RNAcentral is "long non-coding RNA (BNAP_LNC000593)". Lineage: Eukaryota; Viridiplantae; Streptophyta; Magnoliopsida; Brassicales; Brassicaceae. The record is from RNAcentral.
CCGUCUUUUAACAAUUUUGUUGUAUGUAAUUAAAAUCUAAAAAGUACUUAAUCAAGCAAUUAACGAGUAAUCGCCUCUUCCCCCUAUAAAUAAACCACUCAAUUUCUUCCUCUUCUUCAGUCUCUCUUCCUUUCCCUCUCUCGAACAAGAAGACAACAACUCAAAACGCAGAGAAGAUCUCCAGAACGACACCGUUUCGUAGCAAAGAUGCUUUCUUCGUCUCCAACCUCCUUCACUCAUCCCUUCCUCUCCACGUCUCCGCCUCUCUCCCCCAUAUCCCCGCCGUCU